Molecule: long non-coding RNA, 1652 nt
Filed under: Mus spicilegus (steppe mouse)
Lineage: Eukaryota; Metazoa; Chordata; Mammalia; Rodentia; Muridae
Description: lncRNA (ENSMSIG00000029017.1)
Source: RNAcentral
CGCCCUCCUCACCAACGGUCCCACUGGUCUUCACCAACCGCAGAGCUGAGGCCAGUGCAGACUCCUCUGCCUCCUACCGCCCAGGGCAAGCUUAGGAGGGUCCUAAACCUGCCUAAAUUGCCAGGGCAACUGUGAGGCAAUGCACAGAAGCUCACUCGGCCACAGGGUGACACAGUGGACCCACGCAGAGCCAAGGAAGCUGCACAGGGACAGGGGCUGAUGACAUUGAAAGUUCAUAUGGAUCAGGUGAUUUCACUGUGAAAGGCUUCCUCCACAGACUGAGCAUCAUCAAUGGCUGGGCAAAAUUCCACUGGGCUCUUCUAGACUUUUUCCAAGGACUAUUUCUGGAAACAAACUUCAACAUUCCCAGGUUUCAAGCUUUGAGUAUUUCUGCAUUGACAGUUGCAACCGAUUAAUUCCAUUGGAUGGUUUCUUGUUCUGAAGUUAAAAUUUCAAAGUAUCUGAUCCUGGCUUAAUGUCACUCAAGAACUUACAAAGGCAAAGUUAAGACCUGCCCUUCUAACAAACUGCUUAUUUAGGCUUUUGUGAAAUAUACUUUUAUUUAAUUCCAACGGAGCAAGCAUUUUCUGUUUACCUGACCCUAUUCCUUGAAUGGUCUCAUUUCUCUUAACCAGAAUCCUGUGAAGCAAAUAGUCCUGUUCUUACCACCUGUCAGAUAAGGAGUUAUGAGGAUCUCAGUUAAGUAACUUACCCAGUGUUGCACAGCUAGGGAGUAGCAAAGACAGGAUUGAAAGUCGGGUUCUCUGCUGCUGACUGUGCAUUCUUACACAAUAUAACCAGCUCUUAGUUCUUUUCCUACCUAGCAAUACUGUGACUAUGUGUGUGUUCCUUUUGUGUUGGCUAUUUUUAUGUCAACUUGACAUAAGCUAGAGUAAUUCGGAAGAUGGAACUUCAUUUGAGAAAAUACUUCCCAACAGAUUGUCCUGUGGGCAAGUCUAUUGUACAUUUGGUGCAUUUUCUUGAUUGAUAAUUGAUAUUGGAGGGCUUAGUGUAAAGGUUUCUCCAAAGCAAGGUCAUCUUGGCUAUUGCGAGCUAAGGAAUACCACAAGGUCACACCACCAGUUAACAAAGCACACAUAAGAAUUUCACUGGGGAGAACAGAAUGGCUGCAGUCUCUGUACGAGGAGAGACAGCAGAGGGCUGGACUGAAUGGAAGACUUUUAUAGGGUUUGUGGAGCACGCCAAGUGAGCCAAUAGGAAACAUUGGCCACUACAGGAUCAGGGAUUUCCAAGUCUCAGAGCUUUGGGUCAAACUAGAGGCAGAGUGUUUUCGCUUUGGCCUCUGUCUGGGGCUUGGGGUCAAGUCGGGGAUGAGGUGGUGGUCUCUUGGCCCAUGUGCUUAAGGUCAACUCAGGGUCAGAAUAUUCUUUCCUUGCCCUAGUCUCAGGGUCAAGUCAGGGUCAGGGGGGUCUUUCCUGGCCCAUUUACUCUACAUUCCUCUCUGUUUUGUUUAGGAGAGGGGUGAUGAUAUCACUAUGCAACUUCCUGCUGUCUGGGGCAUUGAAGUCCUUGAGACAAGCUUGAUCUUCAUAUCAGGGGUUGUAGGCCUCUGCUACUGUAGUUAGGGGCUGAUAAUCCUGUAAUAACAACUGAUUAAUAAAUAUCUAGUUAGAAAUCUUUUGGAUCUUCUC